AUGAACGCUGGCGGCGUGCCUAAUACAUGCAAGUCGAGCGAACGGACGAGAAGCUUGCUUCUCUGAUGUUAGCGGCGGACGGGUGAGUAACACGUGGAUAACCUACCUAUAAGACUGGGAUAACUUCGGGAAACCGGAGCUAAUACCGGAUGAUAUUUUGAACCGCAUGGUUCAAAAGUGAAAGACGGUCUUGCUGUCACUUAUAGAUGGAUCCGCGCUGCAUUAGCUAGUUGGUAAGGUAACGGCUUACCAAGGCAACGAUGCAUAGCCGACCUGAGAGGGUGAUCGGCCACACUGGAACUGAGACACGGUCCAGACUCCUACGGGAGGCAGCAGUAGGGAAUCUUUCGCAAUGGGCGAAAGCCUGACGGAGCAACGCCGCGUGAGUGAUGAAGGUCUUCGGAUCGUAAAACUCUGUUAUUAGGGAAGAACAUAUGUGUAAGUAACUGUGCACAUCUUGACGGUACCUAAUCAGAAAGCCACGGCUAACUACGUG
Molecule: ribosomal RNA, 496 nt
Filed under: uncultured bacterium
Lineage: Bacteria
Description: partial 16S ribosomal RNA
Rfam family: Bacterial small subunit ribosomal RNA
Source: RNAcentral